RNAcentral lists this ribosomal RNA (253 nucleotides) under uncultured bacterium. RNAcentral's name for it is "partial 16S ribosomal RNA". It matches the Rfam family "Bacterial small subunit ribosomal RNA", at positions 524 to 776 of the family's 1533-position model. The record is from RNAcentral.
UACGAAGGGGGCUAGCGUUGUUCGGAUUUACUGGGCGUAAAGCGCGCGUAGGCGGACCUGCAAGUCGGGGGUGAAAGCCCGAGGCUCAACCUCGGAACUGCCUUCGAUACUGCGGGUCUCGAGUCCGGGAGAGGUGAGUGGAAUUCCUAGUGUAGAGGUGAAAUUCGUAGAUAUUAGGAAGAACACCGGUGGCGAAGGCGGCUCUCUGGGACGGUACUGACGCUGAGACGCGAAAGCGUGGGGAGCGAACAGG